This 254-nucleotide ribosomal RNA is filed under the name uncultured bacterium. Its description in RNAcentral is "partial 16S ribosomal RNA". It matches the Rfam family "Bacterial small subunit ribosomal RNA", at positions 524 to 776 of the family's 1533-position model. The record is from RNAcentral.
UACGGGGGGAGCAAGCGUUGUUCGGAUUUACUGGGCGUAAAGGGCGCGUAGGCGGCCACCGCAAGUCGACUGUGAAAUCUCCGGGCUUAACCCGGAACGGUCAGCCGAUACUGCGGGGCUAGAGUGCAGAAGGGGCAACUGGAAUUCCAAGUGUAGCGGUGAAAUGCGUAGAGAUUUGGAGGAACACCAGUGGCGAAGGCGACUUUCUGGUCUGUAACUGACACUGAGGCGCGAAAGCGUGGGGAGCAAACAGG